CCUACGGGGGGCAGCAGUGGGGAAUAUUGCGCAAUGGGCGAAAGCCUGACGCAGCGACGCCGCGUGAGGGAUGAAGGUCUUCGGAUCGUAAACCUCUGUCAGCAGGGAAGAACGGUCACUGUGCUAAUCAGCAGUGAAUUGACGGUACCUGCAAAGGAAGCACCGGCUAACUCCGUGCCAGCAGCCGAGGUAAUACGGGGGGUGAGAGCGUUAAUCGGAAUUACGGGGCGGAAAGCGCGCGUAGGCGGUAUGUCAAGUCAAGGGUGAAAUCCCCGCGCGUAACGUGGGAACUGCCUUUGAAACUGGCAACCUGGAGUGUGUGAGAGGAUAGUGGAAUUCCAGGUGUAGGAGUGAAAUCCGUAGAUAUCUGGAGGAACAUCAGUGGCGAAGGCGACUAUCUGGCACAUAACUGACGCUGAGGAGCGAAAGCGUGGGUAGCAAACAGGAUUAGAUACCCGUGUAGUC
This 465-nucleotide ribosomal RNA is filed under the name uncultured bacterium. RNAcentral's name for it is "partial 16S ribosomal RNA". It matches the Rfam family "Bacterial small subunit ribosomal RNA", at positions 338 to 795 of the family's 1533-position model. The record is from RNAcentral.